Molecule: ribosomal RNA, 481 nt
Filed under: uncultured bacterium
Lineage: Bacteria
Description: bacterial SSU rRNA
Rfam family: Bacterial small subunit ribosomal RNA
Source: RNAcentral
GACGAACGCUGGCGGCGUGCCUAACACAUGCAAGUCGAACGGAGAUAUGAUUUCGGUUGUAUCUUAGUGGCGAACGGGUGAGUAACGCGUGAACAACCUGACUCUAAGAGGGGAUAACACUCGGGAACGGGUGCUAAUACCGCAUAAGACCACGACCUGGCAUCAGGAUGAGGUCAAAGGAGCAAUCCGCUGAGAGAGGGGUUCGCGUCCCAUUAGAUAGAUGGCGGGGUAACGGCCCACCAUGUCAACGAUGGGUAGCCGAGCUGAGAGGCUGAUCGGCCACACUGGAACUGAGACACGGUCCAGACUCCUACGGGAGGCAGCAGUGGGGAAUAUUGGGCAAUGGGCGCAAGCCUGACCCAGCAACGCCGCGUGAGGGAAGAAGGCUUUCGGGUUGUAAACCUCUGUCCUUGGUGACGAAACAAAUGACGGUAGCCAAGGAGGAAGCCCCGGCUAACUACGUGCCAGCAGCCGCGGUAAU